UUAUGCCUUAUAGCUUAUUUUAUGGCAUAGAAGAUAGGAUUUCAGGGCUUUUAACUGAAAGUUAUAAUAAUCACAUGAUAGUAUAUUUAGUGGACUUUCAAAUAAUUUCUUCAAAACUUUAACUAUGAACAUUGUCAGGACAGAACCAAGUCAGUGUAGGGCUUUUGUUAUUGUCUAUUCCUCCCAGGGCAGAGUGUCUGAUGAAAGAUAUCAUCCUGAGAUGGGACACGUACCUUCCAGGCUUCAGCUGCUUCUCCAGCCUUUCUUACUGGUCUCAAAGAAUUCAGAAAUACUUCUAAGAGUUAACCAGCACUACGGUGAGGCUUUGCUUUAAACUUUGCUAUUUCAACCUCUUGUCUGACUUCUCAUCCAUACAGAGUCUUACCAUGAAUAAGAUGUGGGAAAUUCUUGCUUCAAAGCAUCAAACUUUCAAUGCUAAGGAAGACUUGAACGUUUUGUAAAGCUGUUGGUAACAUCUACUUCAUGUUCUGCUUUAUUUAAUGGAAGAGGUCAAGAGGAUUUUAUGAGCCUGUAUUAUGCCAAACAUUGUGAAGACCACUCAAGACUGACAGAAAGACUUUUGGACUGCCAAACCUCUUUGGAAAGUUCCACAUCCUCUCAUAUUGUCAUAGUUAUGAUCAUCUGUUUAUCAUAGUUUAGCAGGUACUCUUUCAAGAAUGGAUGGUGUAGUUAUAACAAGAAAAUUUGUUAAAAUGCAUUGAAUUAUAUUAGGUGUUCCAUUUAAAUAAUUAAAAAUCAUCAGCAAAAAAUAAAAAUAAGUGUGCAA
This is a long non-coding RNA of Melospiza melodia melodia, 787 nucleotides long. RefSeq lists it as uncharacterized. The record is from RefSeq and is a predicted model, not a curated record. Lineage: Eukaryota; Metazoa; Chordata; Aves; Passeriformes; Passerellidae. The transcript is spliced from 2 exons.